RNAcentral lists this transfer RNA (91 nucleotides) under Candidatus Woesebacteria bacterium RIFCSPHIGHO2_01_FULL_44_21. RNAcentral describes it as "tRNA-Ser". It matches the Rfam family "tRNA". From Rfam's summary of the family: Transfer RNA (tRNA) molecules are approximately 80 nucleotides in length. Their secondary structure includes four short double-helical elements and three loops (D, anti-codon, and T loops). RNAcentral also lists the same sequence under 1 other name. Lineage: Bacteria; Candidatus Woeseibacteriota. The record is from RNAcentral.
GGUGGGGUCGCAUAGCUUGGUCCAUUGCGGGGGUUUGCUAAAUCCCUGAGCCGCAAGGCUCGCGCAGGUUCAAAUCCUGUCCCCACCGCCA